Molecule: ribosomal RNA, 414 nt
Filed under: uncultured bacterium
Lineage: Bacteria
Description: bacterial SSU rRNA
Rfam family: Bacterial small subunit ribosomal RNA
Source: RNAcentral
GUGUCAGCCGCCGCGGUAAUACGUAGGGUGCGAGCGUUGUCCGGAUUUACUGGGCGUAAAGAGCUCGUAGGCGGUUUGUCACGUCGUCUGUGAAAACCCGAGGCUUAACCUCGGGCCUGCAGGCGAUACGGGCAGACUUGAGUACUGUAGGGGAGACUGGAAUUCCUGGUGUAGCGGUGGAAUGCGCAGAUAUCAGGAGGAACACCGGUGGCGAAGGCGGGUCUCUGGGCAGUAACUGACGCUGAGGAGCGAAAGCGUGGGUAGCGAACAGGAUUAGAUACCCUGGUAGUCCACGCCGUAAACGGUGGGUACUAGGUGUGGGUUUCCUUCCACGGGAUCCGUGCCGUAGCUAACGCAUUAAGUACCCCGCCUGGGGAGUACGGCCGCAAGGCUAAAACUCAAAUGAAUUGACGG